UACGUAGGGGGCAAGCGUUGUCCGGAAUCAUUGGGCGUAAAGAGCGUGUAGGCGGCUUGGUAAGUCCGCUGUGAAAGUCCAGGGCUCAACCCUGGAAUGCCGGUGGAAACUGUCAAGCUUGAGUCCGGAAGAGGCGAGUGGAAUUCCUGGUGUAGCGGUGAAAUGCGCAGAUAUCAGGAGGAACACCAAUGGCGAAGGCAGCACUCUGGGACGGUACUGACGCUGAGACGCGAAAGCGUGGGGAGCAAACAGG
This 253-nucleotide ribosomal RNA is filed under the name uncultured bacterium. RNAcentral describes it as "partial 16S ribosomal RNA". It matches the Rfam family "Bacterial small subunit ribosomal RNA", at positions 524 to 776 of the family's 1533-position model. The record is from RNAcentral.